GAUGAACGCUGGCGGCGUGCCUAAUACAUGCAAGUCGAGCGAAUGGAUUAAGAGCUUGCUCUUAUGAAGUUAGCGGCGGACGGGUGAGUAACACGUGGGUAACCUGCCCAUAAGACUGGGAUAACUCCGGGAAACCGGGGCUAAUACCGGAUAACAUUUUGAACCGCAUGGUUCGAAAUUGAAAGGCGGCUUCGGCCGUCACUUAAGGAUGAACCCGCGUCGCAUUAGCUAGUUGGUGAGGUAACGGCUCACCAAGGCAACGAUGCGUAGCCGACCUGAGAGGGUGAUCGGCCACACUGGGACUGAGACACGGCCCAGACUCCUACGGGAGGCAGCAGUAGGGAAUCUUCCGCAAUGGACGAAAGUCUGACGGAGCAACGCCGCGUGAGUGAUGAAGGCUUUCGGGUCGUAAAACUCUGUUGUUAGGGAAGAACAAGUGCUAGUUGAAUAAGCUGGCACCUUGACGGUACCUAACCAGAAAGCCACGGCUAACUACGUGCCAGCCGCCGCGGUAA
RNAcentral lists this ribosomal RNA (515 nucleotides) under uncultured bacterium. Its description in RNAcentral is "partial 16S ribosomal RNA". It matches the Rfam family "Bacterial small subunit ribosomal RNA", at positions 28 to 523 of the family's 1533-position model. The record is from RNAcentral.